This 532-nucleotide ribosomal RNA is filed under the name Achnanthidium minutissimum. Its description in RNAcentral is "eukaryotic LSU rRNA". It matches the Rfam family "Eukaryotic large subunit ribosomal RNA", at positions 43 to 651 of the family's 3401-position model. Lineage: Eukaryota; Bacillariophyta; Bacillariophyceae; Cocconeidales; Achnanthidiaceae. RNAcentral also lists the same sequence under 1 other name. The record is from RNAcentral.
UAAUUAAGCGGAGGAAAAGAAACUAACUAGGGAUUCCCUCAGUAAGGGCGACUGAAGCGGGAAUAGCUCAUCUUGUGAAUCUGCGCUUUGCGCCGAAUUGUGGUCUAGAGACUUUUGCAUUACUGGCCGGGCCAAGUCCUCUGGAAUGAGGCAGCUGAGAGGGUGACACUCCCGUCCGCCUGGCCUCUUGAGCAAUUGUCCACGAGUCGAGUUGUUUGGGAUUGCAGCUCAAAGCGGGUGGUAAAUUCCAUCUAAGGCUAAAUAUUGGUGGGAGACCGAUAGCGUACAAGUACCGUGAGGGAAAGAUGCAAAGAACUUUGAAAAGAGAGUUAAAGAGUACCUGAAAUUGCUGAAACGGAAGCGAAGGAAACCAGUGUCAGCUGCGUCAUACUUCCCCGCUCGCUUGCGGUCGGGGCGCUGUGGCCAGCAUUGUCAGGCUUGGCUGGAUUGGCCGGAACCGCGUACAGGGAGUUGACCUGUGCAUGUCGCGGUCGAUCCGACUGAGGUUGGCGAAAUGGUUUUCUUUACCCCG